Molecule: ribosomal RNA, 743 nt
Filed under: Escherichia coli
Lineage: Bacteria; Pseudomonadati; Pseudomonadota; Gammaproteobacteria; Enterobacterales; Enterobacteriaceae
Description: bacterial SSU rRNA
Rfam family: Bacterial small subunit ribosomal RNA
Source: RNAcentral
GUAAACGAUGUCGACUUGGAGGUUGUGCCCUUGAGGCGUGGCUUCCGGAGCUAACGCGUUAAGUCGACCGCCUGGGGAGUACGGCCGCAAGGUUAAAACUCAAAUGAAUUGACGGGGGCCCGCACAAGCGGUGGAGCAUGUGGUUUAAUUCGAUGCAACGCGAAGAACCUUACCUGGUCUUGACAUCCACAGAACUUUCCAGAGAUGGAUUGGUGCCUUCGGGAACUGUGAGACAGGUGCUGCAUGGCUGUCGUCAGCUCGUGUUGUGAAAUGUUGGGUUAAGUCCCGCAACGAGCGCAACCCUUAUCCUUUGUUGCCAGCGGUCCGGCCGGGAACUCAAAGGAGACUGCCAGUGAUAAACUGGAGGAAGGUGGGGAUGACGUCAAGUCAUCAUGGCCCUUACGACCAGGGCUACACACGUGCUACAAUGGCGCAUACAAAGAGAAGCGACCUCGCGAGAGCAAGCGGACCUCAUAAAGUGCGUCGUAGUCCGGAUUGGAGUCUGCAACUCGACUCCAUGAAGUCGGAAUCGCUAGUAAUCGUGGAUCAGAAUGCCACGGUGAAUACGUUCCCGGGCCUUGUACACACCGCCCGUCACACCAUGGGAGUGGGUUGCAAAAGAAGUAGGUAGCUUAACCUUCGGGAGGGCGCUUACCACUUUGUGAUUCAUGACUGGGGUGAAGUCGUAACAAGGUAACCGUAGGGGAACCUGCGGUUGGAUCACCUCCUUACCUUAAAGAAGC